This is a long non-coding RNA of Pseudopipra pipra, 710 nucleotides long. RefSeq lists it as uncharacterized. The transcript has 2 exons. The record is from RefSeq and is a predicted model, not a curated record. Lineage: Eukaryota; Metazoa; Chordata; Aves; Passeriformes; Pipridae.
GCACUGAAGGCUGCCCACGUGUACUAGUACAGAUUGAAAAACGGGGGGAGAACUGUUCUUUCCUAUUAAUACAAACAGAUCCUGCUGGAGGAAGAAAGGAAGUGGGGAUACCUUGGCAAUUCACUAAAACUUGGAGUUAUAACAAGGAAAUCACAGUGCAGGGGAGUCCUAUCUUGUUGCUGACUUCCCUAUUAUCUGAAAGACACGAGAGAAAUGAAUAUUGUGACGGGGUCAUGACUUUGCUUAUAAAACCUGCAUAUUAAGUGGUGGGAAAGAUUACUGCCAAGUGCCUUGUUUUACUGUUCACUCUCACUUGCAGUGUUCUAUUUUCUGAUACCUGCUAUAGCUGACACUCCCUUUGCCAAAAUAUAUUACAGGCCACAUGGAAGAUCAUAUAUCAGCAAAUAAUGGAAUCAAGUUAAAAUGCAAGUUUCCUAUAAUGAACUGAGCCAGCCCAUUUCAGCAUUACGUUCAGGUGUUACACUGGGAGAGAAGAUAGGCUUUAAGUUAAGACACAAAAGCUCCUGAAUUCAAGGACUGUCAUCAUCCCAUAUAGCUGCACCUCUUGGCCCCAUCAUGCUGCAGCCUUGGACUGCUGGAGCACAAAAAGCAGCAUUGUAUAUCAAGGUGGAGGGGUAGAGAGCAUUAGGAGGAUCUCAGUAUGCAUAUAUUCCUACAAUACAAGCAAGCACAGUCAUUUCAUGCAUGAA